GCACUGAUGAAGUAUUAGCAGAAGAAAAGAAUGAGAAGAGUCGAGAAGAGGAUUUUGCUGAGGAGCAAAGGAAUUUAGAGGAUGAGAUGGAGAAGCGAAGGAGGAGAGUUCAAGAAUGGCAAGAGCUAAAGAGAAAAAAAGAGGAGUCAGAAAGGGAGCAGCUUGGUGUUUCUGCAGGUGCUGAAGAAGAACCUAAAUUGGGUAAAACAUGGACUUUGGAAGGAGAAUCCGAUGAUGAAGAUGCUGAGGGGAAACAUGGCAUGGAUAUUGAUGUGGAUGAUAAUGGCAGUGGCAGGUGCUGAAGAAGAACCUAAAUUGGGGAAAACUUGGACUUUGGAAGGAGAAUCUGACGAUGAAGAUGCUGAGGGGAAACAUGGCAUGGAUAAUGAUGUGGAUGAUAAUGGCAAGGUUAUGGAUGAUGAUGAUGGUAUGGAAAAGGCGGUUAGUUCCCCUGUGAUUC
This 460-nucleotide long non-coding RNA is filed under the name Nicotiana benthamiana. RNAcentral's name for it is "long non-coding RNA (NBEN_LNC038593)". The record is from RNAcentral. Lineage: Eukaryota; Viridiplantae; Streptophyta; Magnoliopsida; Solanales; Solanaceae.